GAUGAACGCUGGCGGCGUGCCUAAUACAUGCAAGUCGAGCGAACGGACGAGAAGCUUGCUUCUCUGAUGUUAGCGGCGGACGGGUGAGUAACACGUGGAUAACCUACCUAUAAGACUGGGAUAACUUCGGGAAACCGGAGCUAAUACCGGAUGAUAUUUUGAACCGCAUGGUUCAAAAGUGAAAGACGGUCUUGCUGUCACUUAUAGAUGGAUCCUCGCUGCAUUAGCUAGUUGGUAAGGUAACGGCUUACCAAGGCAACGAUGCAUAGCCGACCUGAGAGGGUAAUCGGACACACUGGAACUGAGACACGGUAAAGACUCCGACGGGAGGCAGCGGUAGGGAAUCUUCCGAAAUGGGCGAAAGCCUAACGGAGCAACGCCGCGUGAGGGAUGAAGGUCUUCGGAUCGUAAAACUCUGUUAUUAGGGAGGAAGAUAUGUGUAAGUAACUGUGCACAUCUUGACGGUACCUAAUCAGAAAGCCACGGCUAACUACGUG
RNAcentral lists this ribosomal RNA (497 nucleotides) under uncultured bacterium. RNAcentral describes it as "partial 16S ribosomal RNA". It matches the Rfam family "Bacterial small subunit ribosomal RNA", at positions 28 to 507 of the family's 1533-position model. The record is from RNAcentral.